Molecule: ribosomal RNA, 206 nt
Filed under: uncultured bacterium
Lineage: Bacteria
Description: partial 16S ribosomal RNA
Rfam family: Bacterial small subunit ribosomal RNA
Source: RNAcentral
UCAGUAGGCGGUGUGGCAAGUUGGGAGUGAAAUCUAUGGGCUCAACCCAUAGGCUGCUUCCAAAACUGCUGUGCUUGAGUGUGGGAGAGGCGCGUGGAAUUGCAGGUGUAGCGGUGAAAUGCGUAGAUAUCUGCAGGAACACCCGUGGCGAAAGCGGCGCGCUGGACCACAACUGACGCUGAAUGACGAAAGCUAGGGAGCAAACA